GUUCUGGAGAGCACUCUGGGCUUAUUUCGUAAUUACCCGUCUCUUCCUCCUGCCAGAGCCAAGACAGAAUCUUCCUUGACUCCUCACCAAAAGAUCCUAAUGGGUUUCCUAGAGGUAGAAUUAGCAAACGUAUGAGAUGCCCCCUAAAACUGAAGCCCCUGGAGUUUCUUGCUGUCAUGUUAGUUUAUACUCAGUUGCCAGCAAUUUGUUGAAAUUACUAUUCAAGUCUUCCCACCAUUUUAUGGUUCCCGUGACUUCUGCUCCAGAGAAGGAGAAAGUGAAGAGGAUAUAAAUGAGCAGAGAGGACUUUGAGAACAGCAAUUUGAAAGGCUAGAGAAGAAAGACCUGCAAAGGAGAAUAAGAGGUGGUUAAACAAUGAGAAGCCACAUCUGGAGAAGACUGCACACAACUCAGAGAUCCUAGACAUUGGGCUGGAUAAUUGGUUUGGAUGGGUCAGUCUUCCUUGGAAAUAGAGUGAUGUAUUUGACGCGUGGUAAUAAGGGAGCAAAGAGAUAUUUGGUGACCAAAAGCAGUAACUGUGACAGAGAUUGCUAGUGCUCAUUGGUAUCCACGUUAUCUUUUUCUUCUCUCCACAAAACCACACUAUAUUACCCAGCAUCCCCUACAGUUAUGUCAGGCCACGUGUCUGAGUUUGGGCUGAUAGAAUGGUAGAGGCGGUGAUGUAGACCACUUCCAGGUCUAUCCCAUAAAAUCUACUACUCUACAUUUAUUUUCUUUCCUCGUCUCCUGACUGGUUGAAGGUAAUUCAAUAGAGGACUUAUGACUCUAAAAUUCAGAAGAGCAACUAGAUUGAGUAAUUGUGUGGCACAGAACUCUCGACACACUGACCCACAUCAGUAUGUGAUAUGAGCAAGAAAUAAAACUUUGCUGUAGUAAGCCACUGAGGUUUGAGUGUUGCCAUAACUAGCAUUACUUAUGUUGACUGAUACAGAAACAUGCUUAUGACUAGACUUGCUGGAUCAUAGGCUAUGUAUAUGUUCAACUUUACUAGAAAAUGCCAAUUUCCCCAGUAUCAUUGAACUGACUUAUAGUCCUAUGGGUGAAUUAUAAAAGUAUUCUAGUGGCUGCAUAUUCUUCCCAACACUUUCUAUUGUCAUAUUUAAAUUAUUUGCCAAUAUAGUGGUAUAAAAUAGUAUCUAUUAAGGAUUUAAUUUGAAUUUUCCUGAGUACUAAGGAGGAUGGUCAUAUGUUUAUUAACUCUUUGGUUAACUUCUUCCAUGAAGUAUUUGUUCAAAUCUUUUACUCAUGUUUCUGUUCAGUCCUCUGCAUUUUUUCAUAUGCAUAUAUGUAUAUAUAUACUCAUACAUAUGUAUGCAUAUAUGCGUAUGUGUGUAUAUACAUAUAGUGUUAUAUAUACUUAUAGAGAGAGAGUUAUGUAUAUAUAGUUACU
This 1411-nucleotide long non-coding RNA is filed under the name Equus caballus (horse). Its description in RNAcentral is "lncRNA (ENSECAG00000049289.1)". Lineage: Eukaryota; Metazoa; Chordata; Mammalia; Perissodactyla; Equidae. The record is from RNAcentral.